Molecule: ribosomal RNA, 306 nt
Filed under: Triticum aestivum (bread wheat)
Lineage: Eukaryota; Viridiplantae; Streptophyta; Magnoliopsida; Poales; Poaceae
Description: partial small subunit ribosomal RNA
Source: RNAcentral
AUGUGUGUUGAUUGUAGAGGCAUUAAUAAUAUUACUGAUGAGGACAUCAAUACAAUUGUUACACCCACAGCCCCUGCUGCUAUACAUACUGGACCAAUUACUAGAGCUCGUGCACGCCAAGUAAAUUACCAGGUACUUUCGUUUCUUGGUAAUGAUUCUAAUGUUCAUGAGAAUAUGAUGCUGCCUAAAUUGGAUACAUUUGUUUUGCUUACAAAUGAAGGGCCUAGCUUGGAGAAGGAUGAACAUUGGAGCAAGAACAAGCAUGGAGAUGAUGGCAUGCGCAAGGGGAACAAGAACGGAGUUACA